GUGGGGAAUAUUGGACAAUGGGCGAAAGCCUGAUCCAGCAAUGCCGCGUGAGUGAUGAAGGCCUUAGGGUUGUAAAGCUCUUUUACCCGGGAUGAUAAUGACAGUACCGGGAGAAUAAGCUCCGGCUAACUCCGUGCCAGCAGCCGCGGUAAUACGGAGGGAGCUAGCGUUGUUCGGAAUUACUGGGCGUAAAGCGCACGUAGGCGGCUUUGUAAGUUAGAGGUGAAAGCCUGGAGCUUAACUCCAGAACUGCCUUUAAGACUGCAUCGCUUGAAUCCAGGAGAGGUGAGUGGAAUUCCGAGUGUAGAGGUGAAAUUCGUAAAUAUUCGGAAGAACACCAGUGGCGAAGGCGGCUCACUGGUCUGGUACUGACGCUGAGGUGCGAAAGCGUGGGGAGCAAACAGGAUUAGAUCCCCCAGUAGUCC
This 425-nucleotide ribosomal RNA is filed under the name uncultured bacterium. RNAcentral describes it as "partial 16S ribosomal RNA". It matches the Rfam family "Bacterial small subunit ribosomal RNA", at positions 354 to 796 of the family's 1533-position model. The record is from RNAcentral.